This 582-nucleotide long non-coding RNA is filed under the name Homo sapiens (human). RNAcentral describes it as "non-protein coding lnc-ADGRL3-11:1". Lineage: Eukaryota; Metazoa; Chordata; Mammalia; Primates; Hominidae. The record is from RNAcentral.
UCCCAUACAUUCUUUUCCUUCUACCAUGGAUAGGGUAAGUUCAAAAAGCUGACAUUAUUUCUCUAGUUUCGUUCAAACACUGGGGACGAGGGAGGCACUGGGUCAUCACCUUUCAUUAGGAACCAGGGAAUAAAAAUGCAAAGUCUGACAAAUGUAGGUUUUUACUGUACUUUUUACAGAGUCAUGAGCUAGAGUUUUACUACCUGGAGAGUUUGUAUAUGCAGGGAAAAAAAUCAAAAGAUUAAAUAGCUCCUUCAGCAGAAUAUGGCUAAUUUUCUCAUCCUCACCAUCAUAAGCAAACAAGAAAAAUUAUCAAAGUAUUGAGGAUUACUGAAGGGAAUUUAAACAGUCCCAACCAAUAUAACCUAAAAGAUGAAGAAAAGAAACUUAAGACCUUUCCACAGUAACAUUACUAGUAGUCACUGUGCUAAAUAGAGAUCUGAUUAUAGAAGUAAGAGUCUUUGCCAAAGUCUCCAUCAUUCUGUUAUCAGUGAUUGUGAGACAUGCAUCUCACUAAGAGACCUUAGUGUCAUCUUCUAGCACUUGACCUUCAGUAUUAGAAGCUUUACUUUAGUAACAAUU